Molecule: non-coding RNA, 720 nt
Organism: Paralichthys olivaceus (Japanese flounder)
Lineage: Eukaryota; Metazoa; Chordata; Actinopteri; Pleuronectiformes; Paralichthyidae
Source: RefSeq, a predicted model, not a curated record
UAUUAUAGCUCCAUUUCUGGGUGGUAGGCGGAAAUAGACACGCGUCGUCCAGGGAGAUCAUCAUCAUUAGGAAGCUGUCAGCAAAUCAUGAAGCUAACAUAUACAAACUGAUAACACAUUUGACGCAAUUAAAAUCAAAUUAGCUUUAAUACUCGUUCAUGUUAAUUUUCGAGAACACUGGGCUUUUGUUUGUGCUGAUGUUUAUGUGGUGACGGGUGGAGCUGCCCGGGCGGAGAUAGCAGGCUCAGGCGGGGCGGGCGGUGUUAGUUCUCGGGGCACCAGACGACUGCAGUGGGCUCGCUCAGUGUUUCUAUACAGGUUCCGGGGCGCUGCUGCCAGCCGCUGUGCCUCCGUAACGUGACGCUCCUCAGUCGGUCAGACACACACCGAGUGAUGCGAGAGCGGCCAGCGCCACCAUCCCUCACUCAUCCGAACAGGAGGUGACUCGUUCGGCGCAUGAAAUUCCUCAGGUCAUCGCCUGGAGCAAAUAAACAAGCUGCUCGUCCUACCUACGGAUAUCACGUCAUCCUCCCAAGAGAGAGAGAGCAACAGGGACUGUAUCAUGCUGACACUUUUUGAUGCAUCACGAUGUGGACUUGGACGACUCUGCAUCGAUGCAGUGACGGAACAUAUUCGAUUCAUGUUCAGGACAGACUCUCGUUAAAUGUCUGUCUCCUGUCUGAGUGUCCUCCCUCCACUCUCCCGCUGACCUGCACUCAC